CCAUUUGUUCAGGUCCUACCCUCUGGAGCAGCAAAAAACAAGCUUGUUCCAUCUUCCAUGUGACAGACCAUAUAUUUGAAGAUGGCUAUCAUAUAGCUUUCAGUCUCUUCUUCUCCAGGCUCUUCUUCUCCAGGCUGAACAAACCCAACUCCCUCAACC
Podarcis lilfordi (Lilford's wall lizard) is the source of this 159-nucleotide non-coding RNA. The record is from the annotation of a GenBank genome assembly. Lineage: Eukaryota; Metazoa; Chordata; Lepidosauria; Squamata; Lacertidae.